This 301-nucleotide ribosomal RNA is filed under the name uncultured bacterium. Its description in RNAcentral is "partial 16S ribosomal RNA". It matches the Rfam family "Bacterial small subunit ribosomal RNA", at positions 509 to 809 of the family's 1533-position model. The record is from RNAcentral.
CAGCAGCCACGGUAAUACGAAGGGUGCAAGCGUUAAUCGGAAUUACUGGGCGUAAAGCGUGCGCAGGCGGUUCGCUAAGACAGAUGUGAAAUCCCCGGGCUUAACCUGGGAACUGCAUUUGUGACUGGCGGGCUAGAGUAUGGCGGAGGGGGGUAGAAUUCCACGUGUAGCAGUGAAAUGCGUAGAGAUGUGGAGGAAUACCGAUGGCGAAGGCAGCCCCCUGGGCCAAUACUGACGCUCAUGCACGAAAGCGUGGGGAGCAAACAGGAUUAGAUACCCCAGUAGUCCCUGUCCUUAUACA